AUUUCAUCUUGACCAUCUUUGAGGGACUAUUGAUGCUUUUGGUAUCAGCAGCCACAGAAUUCAUCAGACACAGCACAAAAGAGCAGGAGAAGAGAUAAUGGCAGAUGCCAGAAGGUUGUCCAGCUGGUUACUACCUCUCCUCUUCACCUGAUUAUACCUGAUUACUGCUGACUCGAUGGGCAGGGAGAGUCGCUGACUCCUGACAGAAAGACUCUGUCACCCCUUGUAAGUUACUGGGGAUCCCUCUCUGAAGACUGCCUGCUUGUUCUCUGGGGACUAGUCCUUAUUUCCCUUCUGGGAUACAGAGGGGAAGGUUAUUUGUAUUAAGCAAACAUCUCUGAGAAACAACCCUCUCUGCAACAUAGAGACCACAAGGAAAAGUGCAACAUUGAAAGAAUAGGGACUAUGAAUUGUUUUGAGUAGACAGAAAUUUCUGCAAAUGUAUCUCUAUCUUUCGCUCUUAAAAAAAAAAUCUACUUAGUGUAGAAAAAGCUUCCUUCUUGACUCCUAAUCCCCACCUUCUCAAUAAUGUUUCGAGUGUAUUCCUACAAAUUUAUUUUUUAUAUGCCUAAUUUUUUAAAAACCAAAAAAAACCUGGAUUUUUACUUCAUGUAUUUCUUUUAAAAUUGUUUUUCAAUUAAUCUAUAGUGGAUAUUUUAUUUUUGUAUCUAUAUAUAGAGAUCUAGUUUCUUUUAGUGACUGCAUAGUACAGAUCAGUGCUGUCUAAGAGAAAUAUAGUGCAAGGUUCAAAUGCAAGUCACAUAUGCAAUUUUAUACAUUCUAAUAGCUACAUUAAAAAGGUUAAAAAGGUGAAAUUAAUUUUAGUAAUAUAUUUAGGCCAGUAUACCCAGAAUAUUAUUGCUGCUACAUUCAAUCAACAUAAAAGUUAAUGAAAUGUUUUUACCUUUUGUUUCAUAUCUUCAAAAUCCAGUGUGUACUCAAUUCAGACUAGCCUCAUUUCAAGUGGUUAGUAGCUACUGUAUUGGAGAGCACAGGAAGAAAUGUGUCCUGAAACUAGUUUCCUAAUGAGGAACAUUCCAAUGCUUAUUAAUAUGAACAAUUAAACAAAAACAUUCUUUUGACAUAUCUUGAGCACUUACAGCAGUGGUUUUCCAGGAUGAAUUCAUAGAGGUGAAAAAUGCUGGGCCAAAGGGACAGAACAUAUCCAAUUUUAAUAGAGUUGGCUCCAAAAAAGACUCAAAAAAGACACUCUCAACAACACUGUUGGAGGAUCCAUUUCCUCACAGACUCACCAAUGAUAGAUAUUCUUUUUUUUUUUUGAGACAGAGUCUCGCUCUGUCGCCCAGGCUAGAGUGCAGUGGUGUGAUCUCGGCUCACUGCAAGUUCCGCCUCCUUGGUUCACACCAUUUUCCUGCCUCAGCCUCCCGAGUAGCUGAGACUACAGGCGCCCAUCACCUCCCCUGGCUAAUUUUCUGUAUUUUUAGUAGAGACAGGGUUUCACCGUGUUAGCCAGGAUGGUCUCAAUCUCCUGACCUCGUGAUCCGCCCGCCUCGGCCUCCCAGAGUGCUGGAAUUACAGGCGUGCAAUGAUGGACAUUCUAAUUAUAGUUUUCCAAUCUGAUUGGUGAAAAUCUUACCAUGGUUCGGUAAGUACUGGGAUUGAAAACUGGAAUUUCUUCUGUAGAAUGCCUGUUGAGCUUGAAUUUUUCCCUGGGUUAAUUGAACCAGGUACUAACCCUUCAUUCUUGUGCCUAGGUUCUGGAGAAUCCCCUCCUGUUUACAUGAGGGAGCUCCUCACAAUUACAUCUGGGGACUGGAAUCACAGCCCCUGUUCUUCAGCCCGGGGCAGGGAAUGAGAGCAGUCCUCAAACUUUCGGUUUAAUAUGCAGAAAUUGACACUGGUACAGACACUAUCAUUCCAAAUUCCUCAUUUUUGUAAAGGUUAGCCAGAAACACAAGGUAACCAUCUAUUUUUUUGUGUGUUCUUUGGAUAUAAGAUACAUCUCUGCUACCAAGAAAGAGACUGCAACAAAGCACAGCUUUAUUGGGAGUACAUGUAAAUGAGGAGACCUUAAUUACCAUAAAAUCAAUUUCCUUUGAUUACUUCCCCAAAGCUCUAAUUCUCAAACGUGAAUUAAGAGUAAUUUGAAUAGAAUGAAUAGAAUGUGUAAAUAGACAACAACAUGAGAAGGAAAUUGAAGGUUGAAUCUAGAAAAGAAAUGGCUCAGGUUAAAAGGAAAAAUGAGGAGAGUUAGAGGGGCAGAAUCAGGAGCUUCUGUUUCAUGAUAGGUAUGAUUAGCCCUCCAUGGACUUCCUCUCUUCUUCCCAGAGACUCCUUUCCUUAACUAAGUUCUUUCUUUGAACCCUGGUGUGCUCUUCUAACCGUGUAACUGUGUCCAGAAUUGGUGUGUUCUUUGUCUCACUGACAUCAAGAAUGAAGCCACGGACCCUUGCGGUGAGUGUUACAGUUCUUAAAGAUGGUGUGUCCAGAGUUUGUUCCUUCUGACGUUCGGACGUUUUUGGAGUUUCUUCCUUAUGGUGCGUUUGUGGUCUCACUGGCUUCACGAGUGAAGCUGCAGACCUUCAUGGUGAGUGUUACAGCUCAUAAAGGCAGUGCAGACCCAAAGAGUGAGCAAUAGCAAGAUUUGUUGCAAAGAGCGAAAGAACAACGCUUCCACAGUGUGAAAGGGGACCUGAGCAGGUUGCCUGGGCAGCCUGCCUUUAUUCCCUUAUCUGGCCCCGCCCACAUCCUGCUGAUUGGUCCAUUUUACAGAGAGCUGAUUGGUCCAUUUUGACAGGGUGCUGAUUGGUGCGUUUACAAUCCCUGAGCUAGACACAGAGUGCUGAUUGGUGCAUUUACAGUCCUCUAGCUAGACAUAAAAGUUCUCCAAGCCCCCACUAGAUUAACUAGACACAGAGCACUGAUUGGUGCAUUUACAAACCUUGAGCUAGACACAGAGUGCUGAUUGGUGCAUAUACAAUCCUCCAGCUAGACAUAAAAGUUCUCCAAGUCCCCACCUGACUCAGGAGCCCAGCUGGCUUUGCCUAGUGUAGCCGGCACCGGGGCCAAGGGCGGAGCUGCCCACUAGUGCUGUCAGGUAGCAGUCCCGCACCGCCCACCUGCACUCCUCAGCCUUUGGGCGGUCAAUGGGACCGGGCCUUGGAGCAGGGGGUGGCGCCUGUCAGGGAGGCUCCAGCCUGCUGCUGGAGCACACCGCGGGGGGCUCGGGCAUGGCAGGCUGCAGGUCCCGAGCCCUGCCCCGUGGGGAGGCGGCUGAGGCCCCGCGAGAAUUCAAGUGCGGCGCAGGCAGGACAGCAGUGCUGGGGGACCCAGCACACUCUCCGUAGCUGCUGGCCCGGGUGCUAAGCCCCUCACUGCCUGGGGCUGGUGGUGCUGGCCGGUCAGCCGAUCUGAGUGUGGGGCCCGCGGAGCCCGUGCCCACCCGGAACUCGCGCUGGCCCACGAGCUCCACCACCCUGCAGCCCCGGUUCCCGUCCACGCCUCUCCCUCCACACCUCCCGGCAAGCAGGGGGAGCCGGCUCCAGCCUCGGCCAGCCCAGACAGGGGCUCCCGCAGUGCAGCGGGGGGCUGAAGGGCUCCUCAAAUGUGGCCAGAGUGGGCAACAUGGCAGAGGAGGCGCCAAGAGCGAGCAAGGGCUGCCAGCAUGCUGUCACCUCUCGUAACUAUAUACAUACACAUACAUAUAUAUUGUAUUAGUCCAUUCACACUGCUAUAAAGAACUACCCAAGACUGGGUAAUUUAUAAAGGAAAGAGGUUUAAUUGCCUCACAGUUCCGCAGGGCUGAGGAGGUCUCAGGAAACUUGCAAUCAUGGCAGAAGGGGAAGCAAACAUGUCCUUCACAUGGAGGCAGGAAGGAGAAGUGAGAGCUGAGCAAAGUGGAAAGCACCUUAUAAAACCAUCAGAUCUCAUGAGAACUCACUAUCAUGAGAAUGGUAUGGGGGAAAGUGCACCCAUGAUUCAAUUAUCUCCACCUGGUCCUGCCCUUGAUAUGUGGGGAUUAUUACAAUUCAUGAUGAUUUUGGGUAGGGAUGCAGCCAAAACUAUAAUAUAUAAUAUAUAUUACAUAUUAUAUAUAUUAUAUAUUUUAUAUAUAUACACACAUAAAUAGAGAGAGAAAUAGAUUUUAGAAAUUGACAGUUUUGGUUUUUAAUUUUCUUGCUUUUUAGGCCAUUUAUUUUAGAUCCUGUGAAUCCUACUGUCAAUGUUGUGACACCUGCAAUGCCUGGGAUGAAGCUGCCCAUGUGGUGAGAUGCAGCCUGUGGAAGCCUCUUUUCAGUGGAGUGAGAGCCAAGCCCCCUUGGCUUUUCAUAGACAAUUGGUGAACGGGACAAGGAGACACUGUCCUUGGAUGUCUGAAAAAAAAAGAAAAAGGUUGCAAAACAUGUUGCCAAUAAGAAUGUUGUAGAUGAAAGGCAGGAUGAAGGAAAGUGGUCUUAAUUUAAAUUCUCUAUUUUACUAAACCUACUCUUUAACAAAUAUGUUUAUGUGAGGCAUCAGAAGCAAAUGUAUUUUGGCUUUUAAGAGAAUUAAAAUUGUUUCCCCUAUUUUUUUAUUUGUUUGCUUUGGUGGCUUUGUGACCAAAAAAAUUGUUUUAAUCCAAAUAGCCACAAUAAAUAAAUAAGCAAAUGAAUAAAAUUCCCAGGUCAUUUGAGAGAAAAGAUUAACUGAAAAGGUAAAGCAUCUCCCCCUUUUUAGUUUCAGUUAAUUAUAGUGUCAGGAUGACUUUUUAACUUACCUGGCAAUCUGGAACCUCAUAGAGUCACUUGCGUUUUCAAAAUUUCCAUGUGAAAACAUGAUUGUGCCAAGUACUCCCUAUUAACUUUUAGACAUCAUCUAUAAAAUCACUACAGGAAAAUAUGGAAAUAUCUGAGAGAUACACAGUGGAUCGCCUCAGAAUAAAUCGUUCCCCAAAUCAUUUUAUGACUGCCUGAGUCGGGACUCAUGGGUCAGAGUAGAGUCAUAGUUAAGGUUUGCAACUGGCUUAGUAGCAAGAGGGGAUAAACAAACUAUCCAGGCUGUUGAACUGUCCAGUUUCGCUACAACUGUAUUUACUUGUUGGGAUCAACUGUUUUCUUUCCUAUUAAGGUAUUAGUAGCCACUGAUAAUGGAAGCCAGGGCCCGCUAGAAAUAGACCAGAGGAAAUUUCCUGACUCACUUGCAUAACAACAGUUCAUCAGCACUGAAGAUAUAUGAAGUGUGACUGCAGAGUAAUGGGAGUGAUUAGGUUUCUCUGCACAACAAAACUCUUACAUACAAAUGAGCACUGUCCCCUUCAGGACAGUCCUCAGGGAACCCGUAUGCUUAUUCCGGUGUGUGAUUGGUCUGGAAGCAUUUUUGGAUGCCCUCUGGACAGAAAGUGCUUUUGGACACUGUUAGUGGUGACAAAGUGUGUCCUUUGAGGAUGGAUUAGAUUGUUGGAAAUGAUACAAUGUAUUCACAGUAUACAUCUGUUGUUUUUGUCUACCCAGAAGCCUCUGUCCAAACUUGUGGUUGGAGAGGCUGUAUUUCUUCUGUCGUUCAUUCUGUCUUUGAAGGCUCUCGAGGAGAAAAUAGCUUUUAAUAUCUCUUGGGAAAUGGCCACAUUUUCCCCUGGCAAUUGAACCCAUGGCUUUCUUGAAUGACUACUCCUCAACCAGGUCUAAGUUGUUUAGGUAGGCUGACUUGACCACCAGUUCCAGAGCACAGACAUGUGACGAGCCUGGCCAUAGUCAUUGAUUCAGGGAUGGACACAUGACUGAAACGGCAUGCUGGCAUUUAGUUCUGGUACUUGGAUUUUAACUGUUGGGAGGAGAAUUUCUCACUCUGCUAUGAUAUAAGCAUGAAGCUACUGGCUUCCACUUGCUGCUACAAAGAGCCUGCUUAAAAAUGGAGCCAACAUAAAAGGAAGCAGAUUUAAGACCUGAGCGAUGAGAGCGUGCACAUGUGUGUAUAUCCACAUAAUGAGACUAAGUCUUGAUUUCUGCACCUUGAUCCAGAUAUACCUGGAGCAGAAACUCUGCUGGGACUCUUUUGUAUCAUGAGCCAGUAACCUCCCUAUUUGCCUAGUAGGUUGAUUUGGGCUUCAAUCUUGCAACCAAGUGAGUCCUGACUAAACCAGCAGAAUGGAGCCAGGUAAGGUUCUUUCUCAAGAAGAGAAGAAGGAAGGUAUCAAGACGUUUAUGACAAAUUUCUACUCAACACUGAGCACCUGCUAAGUGCUGGGCCUAAUAGUCGAGAUGCUGCAAUGAACUAGUCCAUUCAGGAUGCUGAGGUGUUUCAGCCUAGAAGAGACUGCUUUUCUUCCUUUGCUCAUGCAGACUCAGGGGGCCAUUCUCAAGGAGGAGUUAGUGACAGGAAUGUCUUUGGCAAAGACAGCACUCUUGAGUGUGGUCAGAACAUGUUAUUUAUUUCCCAAGAUGAUUAGUUUUUGAAGAAGACAACAAAUAGUUGAGGCUAUGAAUUCUAUCUCUGUAAAAAUAGAGUUAUGUUUUCCUCCUGUAGUCAGAUCUCCUGUGGAACGUGAGUAAACAGGAAUUUCUAUGUAUGGAGCAAGGACAGUAUGGUUAGCACAUAAUACAUGUGUUUAUUUCAGAGCUGGGGAGGACUCCUGACCAGCGUGACACCUAACAUUGGAGUGAAGGGGCAGCAGACCUCUCCAGCCACGUGAAACGGAAUGGGAAAUACUCUUCUCCUACCACCAACUUGGCCACUCUCCAGUGACGAGGUUUCAGAAGCAGUGCAUUUUCAAGUUUCUGCCUCAGAAGAGAUCCAGUUUGGCAUUCUGUCUAAGUUCACUGCACAGAGACGGGUUUGGCUCUGUGAUUCAUCAGAAAUAAGAAAAACAAACACUGUAAAUGGAGAACUUGAAAAAGAGGUGGGCACCAUCUCCCCACCCAAGAGAAUGGAUUUAAGAGGAAAUUUGUUUAUGGGAUGAAGUUUUAAAAGGCGACCUGGAAAAUUUAGCAAAGAUGUAAAUAAACAACUCUUCCUUGGAUUGCAUUAGGCUUCAGAAUAAAUAUAUUAACCAGCUUCAGUCAAAGUCUGCCUAGAAUCUGACCCUGACAAGACCCAGUGACUAGUGCUGCUCCGAACCUUCCCCACCAACAGCAGGCAAUUUUCUCUGUGGCAAAGCUACCUCGAAACAGGCAUCCAGGCUUCCCUCCCACGAAGUGAAGAUGAGAAAACUGAGUCUCAGAAUGGACAAGCUCACAGAUGGCAAGUGGUAGAGCAGACUUCACACAUAGCUUCUGCCACGUCCCGGGUCCCAGAGUGUGCCUGCUCAGAUCCCAGAAAACUUGCAGGAACAGGAAGAGG
This 7275-nucleotide long non-coding RNA is filed under the name Homo sapiens (human). RNAcentral describes it as "non-protein coding lnc-LNPEP-1:4". The record is from RNAcentral. Lineage: Eukaryota; Metazoa; Chordata; Mammalia; Primates; Hominidae.